Molecule: long non-coding RNA, 558 nt
Filed under: Prunus persica (peach)
Lineage: Eukaryota; Viridiplantae; Streptophyta; Magnoliopsida; Rosales; Rosaceae
Description: long non-coding RNA (PPER_LNC001185)
Source: RNAcentral
AGUGCUUUGAGUAAACGUUGUAGAUGGAAGAUCAUAACUUUCAACCUUUUAGAAUUAUUAUCUUCUCUGUUCUCCUUAGAUUGCCGUGAAUUAACAUUGUUGAUAAAUAAAGUAAGAUUGGAUAUCAUGUUCCAAAUCUUACCAUCUACUGCUAUUUUUGGGAAUCACAAUAUGAGCUGAAAACAAGAUGAGCAGAUAGUUAUUGAUGUGUAAGACGUGUGCUUCGUUUGGGGUUUAAUUUAGUUUCAGUUGGCUUGAUUAGAUUGGUUAUUUGGCUUCAGAGUUUGAUAAUUGUUGAAUUUUCUUUUCCUUAUUUUUUUGUGUUUGGGAUUUUUUUUAAUUUCUCAUUUUUGUUUUUUUUUAAUUUCCAUGAGUUUGGACUUACUGCAGAAUAAAUUAACUCCUAAGUUUUAUUAAUUGAAAGAUAGAGACGCAAAACAUUGACAGAAUAUAAUUCAUAUAUAUAUAUAUACAUUGACAGAAUAUAAUUCAUAUAUAUAUAUAUAUAUGCCUGCCUUGGUUGCGUGUAUGUUUGUAGAACAGAUGGUAUGAGCUGCA